This 67-nucleotide transfer RNA is filed under the name Rhizomys sumatrensis (large bamboo rat). RNAcentral describes it as "tRNA-Arg". It matches the Rfam family "tRNA". From Rfam's summary of the family: Transfer RNA (tRNA) molecules are approximately 80 nucleotides in length. Their secondary structure includes four short double-helical elements and three loops (D, anti-codon, and T loops). Lineage: Eukaryota; Metazoa; Chordata; Mammalia; Rodentia; Spalacidae. The record is from RNAcentral.
UGGUAUUUAGUUUAAAAAAACAAAUGAUUUCGACUCAUUAAACUAUGGUUUACACCAUAAAUACCAU